ACCCGUAAUAACAUUUUUCCUUUUUUGGACCAAAAUAGCUUGCCUCUCUUCUUUAUCGUUUUCACUUUCACUUCAGAUUUCUUUCUCGACAUUUAUCCCCAAAGUGAACCCCAAAAAUUAGCUCCUUAAUCAAUGACAAAUUAAGCAUCCAUUCACUAUCUUCAUCUUCCUUCUAGUUGAACCUCCUUAUUUACAGUAAGUGCCUUUGAUUCCUUUUUUUUUCUCUGAUUUUUUUAGUUAAAUUUAUUUCACUUCUUUCAGCUUUUCUUUUCCCCUUUCGUAUUUGGAUAAAAAAUAGCAAAGCAAAUUGUAAAACCAGCAAAUUAAAUUAUGCCUAAAUGAAAUAUUAUGUGUAUCAAUUAGUCCUGGAAUGAUUGAGUCAAUCCUAUGUUGGAUGCAUGAAUUGAAGAAUCUUGGAUUGCCAUAAUUACCAUACAAAUCCAAAUGAUUUCAUCCUUUUUCUCUCAUUCACUAUUUAUUAGCUCAAAUUUUCCUUUUUCCUUUAACACGGUGGUUUCAUACAGUUUUUGUUUUCUUUUAAAUCCCCAUUUCUUUCAACAUAUAUAGCUGGUGAAAAUUUAUGCUUUGUGUGGCUAUGAUUAAAAAGCUUAUUCAUGCGUAUACCAACAUGCAAAGCGAAAUGCACGUUGAGGGAUAGUUGCAAGCAAGCAUUGCUUGGGUAGCCGCUAUUUCUAACCCAUUAAUUUGCUUGAUUAUGCAAUAACUAAAUGACACAACAAGACAGGGUGUUUAACUUUUUCAUACAUUUCUUAAGAAAAUGUUGGCAAGUUGGUCUUUGUUUUUAUGCUCUAUUCUUAGCACUCUUACCUGUUUAGAUUUAACCUUAAAUAUCCAAAAAUAGAUCCGUUUUGAACAACACAUAUGUAUAUAUAAUAAACAGGCGUUUGUAAUUGCAAGUUCUUUCAUGGGUGCAAACACUAAAAGAAACCACAGCAGCAAAAUAGCAUGUAAUUGGAUAGAAAAACAUUUAAAAAGUUGGUUUCGCACUUGGUUUACAGUUUUAUGUCAUGCUUCUUAACAUUUUUGUGUCAUGCUUCUUUACAUGGGGAAUUUGUAUAUAAUUUUUAAAAAUCUUAAUUUUAUGUCUGUCUUAGGAUGAAAUUUUUUAAUUUCACUUGUCCCUAUGUUUUGCUUGUUGUGUUUCCAUAUAAAAAAAAAUUUGGUUGAUAAGUCUGGCAAAAGAGGAUCGUAGACUUUGCAAGAGUCUCCAAGCUUCCAAUGUACUCUUUUUCCAAGGAUUGUUGUAGCUUACUUUAGUGCUAAAUCUUCUGUAUUUGGACUUAUAAGAGAAAAAAAGAUAAGGUUACUUUUUUGUCAUCACACCCAUUUGGGGCUUGUUUGGUUUUUAUGUGAAUGCAUUUGAUGCAUUUAUUCUAGUGUUUGAGGUGGUAUGUUUGGCAAAGAGCUCUUACCAAUUGGAGCCUUUUCAGCUUCUGUACCAUUACCAAUUGUGGUAGCUGUAUACUGUGUUCUCUUCAGCUUUGUCUCUUCUGCUGGUCUUAGCUUUCUCCAAUUCUGUAACUUGAAUAGUUUCGAAAUAAAAUUCAUAUUAGGCUUCCUUGAAAUAUCCAUGUCUGACAUUUUCCAGCACAUGCCAACCUAGGUAUAUAUAGAGAUAUGAUACUCCAAAUUGAACAAUUUGUAAUAAAUUAAUCACUCUCUGUUUAUUAGAAACUGAACAAUUUUCUUUCCUAAUGAAAUGUAAUUCAGUGACAAAGUGGUUGUGAUCUUCAUGUCUCAUACAACAGUUGUUGUUUUGGUUGUUUUAUUCUUUGAUUUAACACUUUGUCGAUAAAAUGAUGAAAGCAGAAAGGACAUUGGAUUGAACUAGUGGGAAAAGUUUUGCUUUUACAAAUCAAAUGUUAGGAAUGAUGAAUUCUAUGCACUACCCUUUAGACUUAAUAAGUUUUUCCCUCCAAUUUAACCUUUUGAAAAAUAAAUAUUUACUGUGACAAAUUAUUUGCUUUCCAAUUCCAUUUCUUAAGUUAGAUUUAUCUUCCUAAUUUUCCUUUUCAUCCUACAUCUUUAUUCAAUAAGCUAUUUUUGAGUCACCUUGGCUAAUCUAACAGCUGAUUUUACCUCAUGUUACACUCUCUCUUAUUUUUCCUUUAUCUAUCUGUGGUUCUUUUCUUACUGUCAAGUCUCAGUCCUAUUUUAAGCUUAAUGUUCUGCACUCUGUGUAGUUAAUAGAAUGUAAUGUGUUACCAUGCACAUUGCUUUUCGGGUUGAUGAUGGUUAUAUGCAUUAGUUUCAAGUUGUUUAUGCUUGUUGCAUGCAGAUGCCCUUUCUCUAUGCAAUUUUCGUUCUAUGCCAUUCACUUCAUAUUUCAAUGUUUCAUGUCUUCCAAUUAUAAUAUGGUUUAUGUUUCAUGUUUGACAAGUCUUUUCAUUUAAUCUAUUAAUAUGGUUUGCUUUUAUUUUGCAGGUAAGCUUGAUUGCUUGCUUUGAAGAUAUAGUUUUGCUUUGUAAUAUUUGUAAUUUCUGUAAGUUUAUCAUCAGGACGUGUUGCAUUCUUGUUGUAGUCUGUUUUAUAUCUAAUAAGACAUGCCCUUUCAAGGUGCGAUUCCUAGGAGCCAAACUCGAGUCACUUAUGUUCAAAUAGAAGGUUUUAGCUUCUCAUGUAUAAGCUAUUGGUAUAUGCAAGAAAUUGUUUGCUC
This 2677-nucleotide long non-coding RNA is filed under the name Gossypium raimondii (Peruvian cotton). RNAcentral's name for it is "long non-coding RNA (GRAI_LNC006165)". The record is from RNAcentral. Lineage: Eukaryota; Viridiplantae; Streptophyta; Magnoliopsida; Malvales; Malvaceae.